This 400-nucleotide long non-coding RNA is filed under the name Phoenix dactylifera (date palm). RNAcentral's name for it is "long non-coding RNA (PDAC_LNC005242)". The record is from RNAcentral. Lineage: Eukaryota; Viridiplantae; Streptophyta; Magnoliopsida; Arecales; Arecaceae.
UUCACUUCUCCUCCUCCUCCUCCUCCUCCGCCUCCGCAAGAGAGCUCCCGAUAGAGAAGGGCAGAGAGAGAGAGAGAGAGAGAGAGAGAGUAGUANNNNNNNNNNNNNNNNNNNNUCCUCCGCCUCCGCCAAGAGAGCUCCCGACUAGAGAAGGGACGAGAGAGAGAGAGAGAGAGAGAGGAUUUAUAGAAGUAAAAGACGAGCAAGAGAGAGAGAGAGAGAGGAGAUUUGGACGGCGUGGAGGAGAAACGGAGGGUACCUUCCGAAGUUGGAAGGGCACCUCACUUCCCCCGCUUCUCGUUACCUCCUAUCCCUGAUAAACACCACGCCUUCGAAUUUUAUAGCACUCGAACAAAAUAAAAAAAUAAAAUAAAAAAAAUCUUAAUUUGUAAUAUAAUAA